CCUACGGGAGGCAGCAGUGGGGAAUAUUGCGCAAUGGGCGAAAGCCUGACGCAGCGACGCCGCGUGAGGGAUGAAGGUCUUCGGAUCGUUAACCUCUGUCAGCAGGGAAGUACGGUCACUGUGCUAAUCAGCAGUGAAUUGACGGUACCUGCAAAGGAAGCACCGGCUAACUCCGUGCCAGCAGCCGCGGUAAUACGGAGGGUGCGAGCGGUAAUCGGAAUUACUGGGCGUAAAGCGCUCGUAGGCGGUAUGUCAAGUCAAGGGUGAAAUCCCCGCGCUCAACGUGGGAACUGCCUUUGAAACUGGCAAACUGGAGUGUGUGAGAGGAUAGUGGAAUUCCAGGUGUAGGAGUGAAAUCCGUAGAUAUCUGGAGGAACAUCAGUGGCGAAGGCGACUAUCUGGCACAUAACUGACGCUGAGGAGCGAAAGCGUGGGUAGCAAACAGGAUUAGAUACCCUGGUAGUC
Molecule: ribosomal RNA, 465 nt
Filed under: uncultured bacterium
Lineage: Bacteria
Description: partial 16S ribosomal RNA
Rfam family: Bacterial small subunit ribosomal RNA
Source: RNAcentral